GAUGAACGCUGCGGCUUGCCUAAUUCAUGCCAAUCGCACCAAAAGAUGGGGAGCUUGCUCCUCUGAAGUUUGCGGCGGGCGGGUUAGUAACCCGUGGAUAACCUACCUAUUAAAACUGGAACAACUCCGGAAAACGGAUCUAAUUCCGGGUAAUAUAAUUAAACCGCUGGAUCAAUAGUGUAAAACGGUUUUGCCGUUACCUAUUGAUGUACACGCCCCGGACUAGCUAAUUGGUAAGGUAACGGCUUACCAAGGCAACGAUGCGUAACCGACCCGAGAGGGUGAUCGACCACACUGGAACUGAGACACGGUCCAGACUCCUACGGGAGGCAGCAGUAGGGAAUCUUCCGCAAUGGGCGAAAGCCUGACGGAGCAACGCCGCGUGAGUGAUGAAGGUCUUCGGAUCGUAAAACUCUGUUAUUAGGGAAGAACAAAUGUGUAAGUAACUAUGCACGUCUUGACGGUACCUAAUCAGAAAGCCACGGCUAACUACGUG
Molecule: ribosomal RNA, 496 nt
Filed under: uncultured bacterium
Lineage: Bacteria
Description: partial 16S ribosomal RNA
Rfam family: Bacterial small subunit ribosomal RNA
Source: RNAcentral